AGUGAACGCUGGCGGUAGGCCUAACACAUGCAAGUCGAACGGCAGCACAGUAAGAGCUUGCUCUUACGGGUGGCGAGUGGCGGACGGGUGAGGAAUACAUCGGAAUCUACUUUUUCGUGGGGGAUAACGUAGGGAAACUUACGCUAAUACAGCAUACGACCUACGGGUGAAAGCAGGGGAUCUUUGGACCUUGCGCGAGUGAAUGAGCCGAUGUCGGAUUAGCUAGUUGGCGGGGUAAAGGCCCACCAAGGCGACGAUCCGUAGCUGGUCUGAGAGGAUGAUCCGCCACACUGGAACUGAGACACGGUCCAGACUCCUACGGGAGGCAGCAGUGGGGAAUAUUGGGCAAUGGGGGAGAGCCUGAUCCAGCCAUACCGCGUAGGUGAAGAAGGCCUUCGGGUUGUAAAGCCCUUUUGUUGGGAAAGAAAAGCAGCAGGUUAAUACCCCGCUGUUCUGACGGUACCCAAAGAAUAAGCACCGGCUAACUUCGUG
This 492-nucleotide ribosomal RNA is filed under the name uncultured bacterium. RNAcentral describes it as "partial 16S ribosomal RNA". It matches the Rfam family "Bacterial small subunit ribosomal RNA", at positions 29 to 507 of the family's 1533-position model. The record is from RNAcentral.